Molecule: ribosomal RNA, 390 nt
Filed under: uncultured bacterium
Lineage: Bacteria
Description: bacterial SSU rRNA
Rfam family: Bacterial small subunit ribosomal RNA
Source: RNAcentral
AUUGAACGCUGGCGGCAUGCCUUACACAUGCAAGUCGAACGGCAGCACGGGAGCAAUCCUGGUGGCGAGUGGCGAACGGGUGAGUAAUAUAUCGGAACGUGCCCAGUCGUGGGGAUAACGUAGCGAAAGCUACGCUAAUACCGCAUACGAUCUAUGGAUGAAAGCGGGGGAUCGCAAGACCUCGCGCGAUUGGAGCGGCCGAUAUCAGAUUAGGUAGUUGGUGAGGUAAAGGCUCACCAAGCCGACGAUCUGUAGCUGGUCUGAGAGGACGACCAGCCACACUGGGACUGAGACACGGCCCAGACUCCUACGGGAGGCAGCAGUGGGAAUUUUGGACAAUGGGCGCAAGCCUGAUCCAGCAAUGCCGCGUGCAGGAUGAAGGCCUUCGGG